UGGAACAAUAUUGAGAGUAUGAACCAAGGAUUAUGAUUAAUCUAGUUCUGCCCAUCAGAGGUUGACU
Molecule: small nucleolar RNA, 67 nt
Filed under: Loxodonta africana (African savanna elephant)
Lineage: Eukaryota; Metazoa; Chordata; Mammalia; Proboscidea; Elephantidae
Description: Small nucleolar RNA SNORD112 (ENSLAFG00000033040.1)
Source: RNAcentral